AUACGGGGGGGGCAAGCGUUGUUCGGAAUUACUGGGCGUAAAGGGCGCGUAGGCGGGCGGGAAAGUCUCUCGUGAAAUCCCACGGCUCAACCGUGGAAUUGCGGGAGAUACUACUCGUCUUGAGUUCGGGAGAGGGGUGUGGAAUUCCCAGUGUAGCGGUGAAAUGCGUAGAUAUUGGGAGGAACACCGGUGGCGAAGGCGGCACUCUGGACCGAUACUGACGCUGAGGCGCGAAAGCUAGGGGAGCAAACGGGAUUAGAAACCCCAGUAGUCC
This 274-nucleotide ribosomal RNA is filed under the name uncultured bacterium. RNAcentral's name for it is "partial 16S ribosomal RNA". It matches the Rfam family "Bacterial small subunit ribosomal RNA", at positions 523 to 796 of the family's 1533-position model. The record is from RNAcentral.